Molecule: non-coding RNA, 29 nt
Filed under: Mus musculus (house mouse)
Lineage: Eukaryota; Metazoa; Chordata; Mammalia; Rodentia; Muridae
Also listed under: 1 other name
Source: RNAcentral
UGACCAGGUCAAGUCUCUUGGACAGAUUG